UUUUUUCUAUCUAUCAUUCUUAUUCUGAUUUCAUUCUUUUGCAUAUAAAUUGAUAGGAGAAUUUCACAUAAUUUUUUAUAAAAUAAAAAUGAAAAAUAAUACAAAGAAAUGAAUAGAUUAGGAACUAAACUCGAAAAUAUAUGAGAUUAUAAUUUAAAUGUUCCGGAAGCUUACGUUGACAAGGGAAUUUGGGAAGCAAAUUAGCAAUUUGCUUAGCAGUUUCUAAAUAUAAUUUAUGCUUAUUGAUAAUCCCAUUCCCAUCAUCAUUAAAACCAGCAAACGGCGAGUCGUUGUCAUGUUUCUGGUUUCCUACAACUAGGUCCUUAAAUGCCUUUUUCUUCAAAGACCAGCUUCCAGUUUUGAAAUCGAAGCCAUACAAUGGAAGAAAUCUCUGGCCAUAAAUAGCUAUAAAUUCCAGAGCUGCAAGAAUGAACUCAAAUUCCUCAUUGGACGUGUAGUAUGGGAAGCUAAUUCUUGUCCAUCCAGGCUUUACUCCAUGAUAUCCCUGCAUAUUAUCAUAGUCUGUUAUAUCGUACGAAAGAUUUUCUUGUCAUAAAAAAUCUAUAUAAACUUGACCCCCACAUGAGAAGGAAUUUUAUAACCAUUAGAUCAAAUAUUAUAAAACAUAAACAUGGAAGGGCUAUAUAUAAAUUUACCUGUUGUAUGGCAGAUCUAAAAUCAAGGGAGAAAGUCUCAUUGAUGUUAAGCAAAACAUGACCAUAAGGUCCAGCACAAGCACACCCACCCCUAGAUUGAAUCCCAAACAAGUCAUUCAGCAAAGCUGCAACGAAAGGUCCAUGUAGAGGCUUAUCUCUCUUGUUCCCUCUCUCUGUCCACAUGUAAAGAUCUCCUUCCUUUCCCUCUCUACGUUCACUAUCUUCAAUUCCAUUUGAGGAAGAGUUGGUAGUAGAAUAUACAAGGAAGGACAAUAUAGCUUUUCUCUUUACACUUGUGUUUCCUAAUACCCAUAUGUUCUCGUUGGACAUAAGCCUCUUUAAUGCAUUGUUUAUGUAAUAGGUUUCUUGUUUUUCUAUCAUUUGGUAGCCAAUGUAUUCUUUAACCCAGAAAGCCAAUGCUGCUCUAAUUGUUUGGAUUAUUUGUGGAGUCCCUCCAUUUUCUCUCUCUUCUAUCUCUUCCAAAUAUAAUGUAUCCUUUUCAUUGAAGCCACUGACAUAACAGACAGUUCCACCUCCGCAAGUAGAUGGUGGAGAAGAUCUCAGCUGAUACAGAGCUUUACUCAUCAGAAGAAUUCCAGGAGAUCCAGGCCCACCAAGAAACUUAUGUGGGCUAAGAAAAAUUGCAUCAUACCCAUCAAUUACCCCAGAUCUCAUGUCAAUCUCCACGUAGGGUCCACUGGCUGCAAAAUCAAAACAAACAAAACCUCCAUAGCGAUGAAGAAGCUGAGCAAUUCCUCGAGUAUCCGAAUAAAUCCCAGUCACAUUACUACAAGCUGAAAAUGACCCUAAUACUGGACGAUUGGCCUUUCUGUAAGUGUCCAGAAGUUUUUCCAGAGCUUCCAUGUCUAUCAAGCCAUCAUUAUCCAUGCCAAUUUCUAUAACUUCAGCUAAGCUUUGUCUCCAUGAAAGGAGGUUGGAGUGGUGCUCAUAAGGUCCAACGAAAACUACCCAUCUUUCCUCAUUUGUAAUGCAUUUAAUUAUCCUCUCUCUCAGAGUGGAGGGCGCAGCUAUGGCCAUUACCUCUUGUAGACGUUUAAUAGCUGCUGUGGUGCCUGAGCCACAGAACAUGAUUGCAUCCUCUUGUCCACCACCUAAGCUCUUCUUUAUGUAUUGAGUUGCUUCUUGUACCAUUUUGGUUGUUCUCUGCCCCACGUAACUGUCGCAAGUGUGAGUGUUCCCAUAAGAGGGAAGAACAUUGUUAAUGAUGAAAUUUUCAACAAAGCGAAGAGACUGGCCGGAGGCAGUAUGAUCAGCAUAGGUGAGUCUUCGUUUUCCAAAGGGAGAAUCAAAUUCUACAUCGUCACCAAUGAUUUGAGAGCGCAACCAAGCGAGUCUGUUUUCAGAAGAACUACUCUUCAGCACACCCAUCUCCAGAGUAGGAAAAGAUUUGGCGCGAUGACAAAGAUCAUAGUUGGAUGAAGAUGAUAAGGAUGGAGAGCUUGAGCUUCCUGCAACUGAUGUAACUGGGGUUUCUUCUCUUGGGAUGGAUUUUUCUAACUCCAUUCUUACAAUUCCGUAAACGGGUACUUUCAGUUCAGAGAGGAGGAGAGGUGAGGAAAUGGAUGAGGCUGCUGUGUGUAUUUAAAGGAGUUUAUGUGGUCCGA
Molecule: unclassified non-coding RNA, 2281 nt
Filed under: Hevea brasiliensis (rubber tree)
Lineage: Eukaryota; Viridiplantae; Streptophyta; Magnoliopsida; Malpighiales; Euphorbiaceae
Source: RNAcentral